GUCCUACNGGAGGCAGCAGGGUCCUACGGGAGGCAGCAGUGGGGAAUUUUCCGCAAUGGGCGAAAGCCUGACGGAGUGACGCCGCGUGGGGGACGAAGGCCUUCGGGUCGUAAACCCCUGUCAGAGGGAAAGAAGGGUGUCGGCGUGAAUAGCGCCGGCAUCUGACGGUACCUUCAGAGGAAGCCCCGGCCAACUCUGUGCCAGCAGCCGCGGUAAGACAGAGGGGGCAAGCGUUGCUCGGAAUCACUGGGCGUAAAGGGCGCGUAGGCGGGAUGGCAAGUCGGUCGUGAAAUCCUUCGGCUCAACCGAAGAACGUCGGCCGAUACUGCCGUUCUUGAGGGAUGCAGAGGAGAUUGGAAUUCCCGGUGUAGCGGUGAAAUGUGUAGAGAUCGGGAGGAACACCGGUGGCGAAGGCGGGUCUCUGGGCAUCUCCUGACGCUGAGGCGCGAAAGCGUGGGGAGCAAACGGGAUUAGAUACCCCGGUAGUCCACGCUGUAAACGAUGAGGACUAGGUGUGGGGGGGGGUUAGUCCCUUCCGUGCGG
RNAcentral lists this ribosomal RNA (543 nucleotides) under uncultured Actinomycetes bacterium. Its description in RNAcentral is "bacterial SSU rRNA". It matches the Rfam family "Bacterial small subunit ribosomal RNA", at positions 307 to 848 of the family's 1533-position model. Lineage: Bacteria; Bacillati; Actinomycetota; Actinomycetes. The record is from RNAcentral.